AGUCAUAUUUAUACAUCUCGUUCUAAUUCUUUAUCAUGUUUAAUAUGACAGUAUGAUCUGAUCCUAUUAGUGAAUGUGAUUAUUUAGGUUAUUCCUCAUAACAGGUGAUUAUUUAGGUUAUUCCUCAUAACUAUUCCAACUAUUUAGUGAAUAAAUAAUAAAUAAUAUAGGCUAAUAUUGAUACUAUUUGUUAUUUUACAAUUUUGAAUGAUAAUUGUAUUACUUUAGUGGAGUUUGAAUAUCUUAGAUAUCCAUCUGUAGUGAAGUAGGUUUUGAGAAUUCUGUGUGCUGCGGUGAUAACGGAAGAUUGAGAACUUGCAUGUCUUAGUGAAGUAGGUUCUGAUAAUUUUGUGUGCUGCGGUGAUAUAUGGAUGAAAACCUGUGUGCUGUUUGAUUUGUUUGACAUGCCGGUGUUGAUUGUGACAGAUGGCUAGACUAGUAAAUUAGGGGAUAUGCUGCCCAAUUUUCUAUAGAUUUUUUUGUACUUAGCUUUGUGUGGAAAUAUGAAAAUAUUGUAUAGAACAAUUAUUAUCACUUAGUGAUAAUUUUUUAUUAUUUGUAAUCACUAAAUACCUUAGACCUGUUCGGAGAGGCUGAAUCAGUAAGGACUCUUAAAUAUGUCUCUCCGAAUUAUCGAUGACUUUUUUGUCCGCAUGGAUAGUUUGGGUUUACUGUAUACCUAUAGUUUGAUCUAUAACUCAUUUUAUUGCUUCAUUAGUACAACUUUGGGUAUGUGUCUCCUUCUUUGUUCUUGUAAGUGAGCAGACUUAAUUUUAGUCUGUCCACUUAUGAGAACUAUGGAGAGGUGCUGCAGAAAUUUGUAUUGAUAUGAAAUAAUAUUAAGAGUAUAGAUCACACUAUAUGUACACAGUAAACCUUAAUGGGAUAGGUUCUUACCCUUAUAGAAAUGGAGUGAAAAUUUGGAUUAUAGGGUGCACACACAUGUAGUUUAACGAUAUUUAAUUGUCAUUUAUUUGUGUAUCGUAGAUGCCGAUCGAUAAGAGUUGGGCAUUUUUGAGAAAUCGUAAUAGUGAUGAGUAUUGGAGCGGUCUCCAAGUAUCAAUUUGGUGAAGCAACAUAAAGACUGUGACAAAAAUAUUAGAUGUCCAUGUAUAAAAUGCCUAAACUUGAGGUUUAUCGCAUGGAUACGGUAGAGGGACAUAUUUUCGAUGGGGUUUUCAGGAAAGUUAUAUAGAUGUUUGAGUUGCACCAACUCGGAUCUCCUGGCUGCACAGAUGAAUUACUAGCUUUAGCAUCUGGGCAAAAUGUUCUUGCUCAUUCCUACCAAGCUUAUAUUGUGAAUGGAGUUUGAUUUGUGACACAUAAUCGAGAUCAGAUUCGCAUUACACAAAAUAGUGGAGUGUCUGUUGCUGGAGAAAAAUGUUUGACAUUUUAUGGCCAACUUAAGGAAGUAUUGGAACUAUCUUAUACUGGUGAAUAUAAAUUAAUAUUAUUUCGGUGCAAAUGAUUCAAUACUGAUCCGAGCAGGAACAAAUCAAUCACUAAAAAUAAUAUUACUAGUAUAAAUGUCACUGGUGAAUGGUAUAAAGAUGACUAGUAUAUACUUGCUACCCAAGCGAAGCAAGUUUUCUAUCUUGAUGAUCUUGUGAAAGGUCGAGGUUGGAAGGUGGUUCAAGAUGUGAAUCACAGACAUGUUUGGGAUAUUCCAGAGGCUAAUGAAGUCAUUACUUAUAUUGAUGUUGUCCAUGAUGAUUCUUCAUCAAAUUUCAUCCUAGCUGCCGAUUUUGAGAGUUUAUUGUGCAACAGUCUAACGAUCAAGCUCAACUUAUUGACGUUGUGUCUCGUCCUUCUACUACUAAUCAACAAGACCAUGACAGUGACAAUGAAGGUUUUAUUAACGAUGAUGACGAUGACGAUGAAUGAUAAAAUGAUGAGGAAGAACUGCUUGAAGACAUUAAUGAUGACAAUAAUGAUGAGGAAGAGCGGCUUGAAGACAUUAGUGAUGAUAGUGAUUACUCUUAGUAUAAUUUUUUUCAUAUAUGUAACAAAACGUUAUGUUUAUAAAUAAUAAUGUGUCUAUUUUUAUUAGGCCAAUGUGCGUCUCACAUUAACACUAACUAAUUUUUUCAUAUUUCAAUAAAUAUUUUUGUUAUAAAGAUGUCAGCAGAUGUCCCACGGUCUCAUGGUGGAGAUGUAGGCGAUGAUCCUCCCCCUGAUCCUACUUUGAUCCCUUCAUCUUAUCAAUUCGGUAAUUAAAUUUAAAAAAUUAAGUGAUCAUUUUUUUAUUAUUUAUCAAUGUUUUUGUUUUGUUCUGCAAAUAAAUAAACACAGCUCCAUUUAAAGGGCGUGGAGGAGGAAUGGGCCAAGAACUCGAAAAGGCGAGGCGCAAAGCUGGCAAGCCACUUCCAAUAUUAACUCAGACACUUAUAAGCCAUUGGGUAAGCAUGGAACAUGGUUCAGACGUUUAGUCGGGAACACCGUGACUAACAAAUUACCACCAUAUUUUUCAAAUUUGAAAUCAGUGCCUGAUCAAUACAAACAGUUGUUUGAUACCACUAUAAAGCAUUAUUUUGAUAUAGCAGGGCGACCAGACUAUGAUCAUAAUAUUGAGGCUAUAAAUGAUAAUGCUGGCGUCAAAUAUCAUGAUAGGAAAACGCGUAGGAAGGCGCACUUCAAGAAAUUUUAUGUUGAAGAUAAGAACUUAGAGCGGGCCUGAACAACCUCCACAGUGGUGUUAAUGCUGAACAUUGGAAACAAUGCAAUGACUUAUGGUUGGAUGAGAAAUCAAUUAAACGGGCCGAAAAGAAUCAGGCCAAUAGGGAUAUGAUUAAGUAUCCUUCCACUCAAUGACCAAAGUCAUUCGUGGCGGCCUGUCACGAUAGAGUAGGUAACAAAAAAAUAUAAGUUUUCUUUAUUAAUAAAAUAUUUAUCUAAUAAGUUGUUUCUUUGUGUUCAGGUGAACUUAGAAUCUGGGAAUGUACCGGAUUACAUUGAAAGCUGGAAGCAAUUCCACACCUGUAAGGAGAAAGAAGAAUUCGUCAAUGAGCAAGCGAAGACGGACUAUGAAAUAAUGUACAAAGAUUUUAAAGCACAGAGCCAACAAGUCCCAUCUUCCAUUUCUGAUGAAGGAAACACGGUUGA
RNA transcript from Humulus lupulus (European hop), 3102 nucleotides. It is a transcript of the gene named peptide chain release factor PrfB3, chloroplastic-like, with no coding region annotated. The transcript is spliced from 3 exons. NCBI's taxonomy places the organism in Eukaryota, Viridiplantae, Streptophyta, Magnoliopsida, Rosales, Cannabaceae. The record is from RefSeq and is a predicted model, not a curated record.